This 612-nucleotide ribosomal RNA is filed under the name uncultured bacterium. Its description in RNAcentral is "bacterial SSU rRNA". The stretch from base 1 to 498 matches the Rfam family "Bacterial small subunit ribosomal RNA", at positions 100 to 538 of the family's 1533-position model. The record is from RNAcentral.
GGUGAGUAACACGUGGGUAAUCUGCCCUUUCCCGCAUUCGCGGGAUCCCGUUUCGACGGGAAAGUUGGGAAUAACAUUUCGAAAGAGGUGCUAAUACCGAAUAAGACCCCAGGGACUUAGGUCCCGGAGGUUAAAGUCAGGGACCCGUAAGGGCCUGACGCUUGAGGAUGAGCCCGUGUCCUAUCAGCUUGUUGGUGAGGUAAUGGCUCACCAAGGCUUUUGACGGGUAGCUGGUCUGAGAGGAUGGUCAGCCACACUGGGACUGAGACACUGCCCAGACUUCUACGGGAGGCUGCAGUCGAGAAUCUUUCGCAAUGGGGGAAACCCUGACGAAGCGACGCCGCGUGGGCGAUGAAGGCCUUCGGGUUGUAAAGCCCUGUCACGAGGGACGAAUACGCGAUGGGUAAUACCUUGAGCGUUUGACGGUACCUCGAGAGGAAGCCACGGCUAACUCCGUGCCAGCCCCGUACCGGAAAAAUCUGGUAUGCGGUGGGCUGGAAGGGUGCGGAGAUACAGUAGCAAUGCUGUAUAAGAAAAUCUCGCUAUAUGCUGGAACAUUUUAUUACCUAUGAAGUUACGGCUGCGCGGUAAAGGUAAUAAGACAAUCAGCAG